CCAUCGAACGUGAAGGAGAGUAGUGACGUGGGUGUUUACAAAGGUGAGUAUAAUAAAACAAAACACGGUUCCCAUGUGAUAAAAUCGUAUUUGUUGAGCUAUACUGUAGAGUAAACUGUUGAUUUGUUAAGGUGUAAAGACGCUAGCCAGUAACAUAACUGUAUUUGUAAAAAAAAAAAUACAACAACAACAAAACAUGUUUUAUUAUGUAAAGCGAACAGCGGAUCUCCAGUAAGCACAUGUACGUCUCCAAAGUGGAUUUGCAUGAACCAUAUACAUCUUAAAGACGAUUAAAUGUCGGUUUAAUAUGAGACAGAGAAAUGUUCUAAGAGCAUUGCAAAAGAGCAAAUCACAUGAACGUACAUCUGAGUGAGAGAUGUGUGUGUUAUUAUGUAGAAUCCACUGUCUACAUUGCUUUAGAUGAAUGUAAGUAAUGUAAAUAAAUCUACAUUAAGUACACAGAAGUUAUCUAUUUAAUUUGACCAUAAGUAUUGUUGAUAAAUUGUGGAGCUCUUGUGUUGGGUAAAAAGUAAGUGAACACAUCAGCAUCUAGCUCAACAUGUAAAUGCAGUAUAUCACAGAUAAAUCACAGAGGAUACUGACUCUUGUCUGGAUGUUACAGGGACAGAUGAGACACACGUGUGUUUAUCUGCUGCAUAGACACUGAUGAAGGAAUGAUGCAAUCAAAGACUCUCGAUCUUUUGUGGUUGAGCAGGUGACAGCAGCAUCUGUGGAAAAAACCUGAAACCAAAAUAUAAUGAUCUGAAGUGUCUGCAGACUGCUGUGUGCACUGAGGAUGGAGAAGAUGGAGUGCCAUGGAUGAAAUGCCCCAUCACUGCAUCUCCUCUUGUUUUCUCAUCAGGACCAGAUGUUGCUGUGGUCUCUUCAUCU
Molecule: long non-coding RNA, 891 nt
Organism: Carassius carassius (crucian carp)
Lineage: Eukaryota; Metazoa; Chordata; Actinopteri; Cypriniformes; Cyprinidae
Exons: 3
Source: RefSeq, a predicted model, not a curated record